Molecule: ribosomal RNA, 253 nt
Filed under: uncultured bacterium
Lineage: Bacteria
Description: partial 16S ribosomal RNA
Rfam family: Bacterial small subunit ribosomal RNA
Source: RNAcentral
UACGUAGGGUGCAAGCGUUGUCCGGAUUUAUUGGGUUUAAAGGGUGCGUAGGUGGUUGAUUAAGUCAGUGGUGAAAAUGGGUUGCUCAACAACCGAACUGCCAUUGAUACUGGUUAACUUGAGAGAGGUUGAGGUUGGUGGAAUGGAUGGUGUAGCGGUGAAAUGCAUAGAUAUCAUCCAGAACGUCAAUUGCGAAGGCAGCUGACUGGGCCUUUUCUGACACUGAGGCACGAGAGCGUGGGGAUCAAACAGG